ACGUUGUAACUACGGUGAACAUCGCCACAUUAUACAAAUGUGAACGCUGACUCACUCUCCCAGGUGUUUGCACUCCUCCCUCUCCUCAUCCUCUUGUCUUUCACUAGAAGAUAAUUGAGAGUGGCAUCCGAGGUGGGAGAGGAGGGGAGGAGGUGAAAGCCAGAGAUGACCGGAGAGGAGGUAUGACCGCAGGGAGGAGGAGGACUGACGGGAUAGUUUUUUGGGUGAUUGCGGUACGAAUUAAACGUCACAUCAUCAUGAAAACGUGGCGCCGAAGACGUGAUUUUAAUCAUCAUCGGUUGACAACGGACUCACACAACAUCUCUCUGUGUGUCUCUAAAUCAAAUCUGAAUCUCUCUCUUUUGCGUAAGAAUCCGAGAAACGAAACCUCAGUCUCGAUUUUCCACUAAAUCAACAUUAAUCUCCGACUUUCCACGCGUCUCUAAAUCACCUUCAGUCUCAGCACUCAGCUUAAUUGAACUCGCUUUCGCUGCCAUGAAAGUAGAAAGUUGUCAAAAAUCAAGAUAAAUGACCGUAAAUGAUCAUCUUAGUCUCAGAUAAUCAAUUUUCCUCCCACGUAGCAGUGUUUUUGUUUUGUGUCUGGUUUGUUACACAAGUUUUCUGACUAUUAAACUUCUCUUUUUAUUCAUUUAUAUUUGCAAUUAUAAAAAUAUACUAUAAUAUAAUCAAAAUACUGCUUUGUGUCUUUAAUAAUCUUUGUCUUUGGCAACUUGCGUCCAGCACAGGAGGAUGUGUGUCACAGGGUGAAGCUUUCAUCCAAAUGUAACACAAAUUCUAACAAAAUUUCCAGAAAAAUCCAUCCUCUACUGUGACUAUCAGGAGAUAAACAGGCGCAAAUUCUCCAGUUGGUGCCAUUAAAAAUACUGCAGAAGAAGAGAACUUAAUGGGGAAAAGAGCAUCAGUCAAAGCUCAAGCAAUGGAAAAUCAUGUGGAAAGUGUGAUGGAAAUAUGACAUUUCUGUUUGUUUCAUGUAUUAGUUUCAUCAGCUCUUCAGUGAUGUGUUUAAGUCUUCAUGUACAUCAUCAUUUAUUCACUAAGUCUGUUUAUAUUUGCUUUUUAUCCACACAGUUACUUUUACACAAUUAGGAAACAAUUUUUUUUUUUAUGAUGUUUUGACUUUUUGUCCCGUUUCCCCGUGUUUCCACUCAGGGUUUUUUUUUUUUUAUUCACAAAUUGAUGCAUAAAAACAGGUGGAUGGAAACAAACUUCAUGACAUAUUUGGAUGCACAAAAUGUUUUUUCUGCUCAUUCUCUGUUUGCUAAAUUGCACCGAUGCUUUCAAACCUCAGAUGGAAAUUAUUGAGGCUUGCAGUGAUUCUUUGUGGUCUGAAUGUAAUCAACCGUAAUUAAGAUUAUUCCUGUUAAAGGUUGAUAAACACUUUAUGAAUUACAGCUGAACAACAGCACAUACUGUAAAAUUGAUUUUUCCAAAAACAAGACAACAAAUUACAACUAAUCAGUCCAAUUUACCACCAGAAGUUUGUUCCUGUUUGUGUGGAAAAGCCUCUGAGAUAUUGUGUGAAUCACUGGAGAACGCUGAAAGUCACGAAAUCAACCACAUGCAUCUGCAGACUCGUGUGAACAGAGCAGAAGGGAUUCUCUUGCUGUUUUUUUUUCUAAAUAGUUGGGAAGUCGACAACACAGCGCAGUAAAUAUUCAUCUUCUCUCUGUUUCAAGCCUCCGUCGAGACUAAAACUGUGUUUCUCUCGCCCCAAAACAGUGUUUCAGUGUGUAAAAAUCAAGCUUUCGCAAAACGAUGAUGUAAGCUGGACUUUAUGGCGCCUCAGAU
Thunnus maccoyii (southern bluefin tuna) is the source of this 1809-nucleotide long non-coding RNA. RefSeq lists it as uncharacterized. The record is from RefSeq and is a predicted model, not a curated record. The transcript has 3 exons. Lineage: Eukaryota; Metazoa; Chordata; Actinopteri; Scombriformes; Scombridae.